This 414-nucleotide ribosomal RNA is filed under the name uncultured microorganism. RNAcentral describes it as "bacterial SSU rRNA". It matches the Rfam family "Archaeal small subunit ribosomal RNA", at positions 459 to 872 of the family's 1478-position model. The record is from RNAcentral.
CAGCCGCCGCGGUAAUACCGGCGGCCCGAGUGGCGGUCACUAUUAUUGGGCUUAAAGCGUCCGUAGCCGGGUUGGGAAGUCCUCCGGGAAAUCUGGCCGCUUAACGGUCAGAAUGCCGGAGGAUACUCCCAGCCUAGGGAGCGGGAGAGGCCGAGGGGAUUCCCGGGGUAGGGGUGAAAUCCUAUAAUCCCGGGAGGACCACCGGUGGCGAAGGCGCUCGGCUGGAACGCGUCCGACGGUGAGGGACGAAGGCCAGGGGAGCAAACCGGAUUAGAUACCCGGGUAGUCCUGGCUGUAAACGAUGCGGACUUUGUGUCGGACAAGCUAUGAGCUUGUCCGGUGCCGGAGGGAAACCGUUAAGUCCGCCGCCUGGGGAGUACGGCCGCAAGGCUGAAACUUAAAGGAAUUGGCGGG